ACCCAUUGUUGCCCUCGCAAGGCCUCACCCUCUUUGUUGUCGAAGGUCCAGUUGUACUUGCUGGCAAGACCGGUGGCUGGUGCACCUGUGAGCCAUGGCAUGCCGGUCAGUCAUUCUCCAGCGGACCGCGAACCAGCGCUCGCUGCCUGAGCCGUUUACCGUUUGCAGGUGCUUGCGAUUGAUGGUUCGCCACCUCGCUCUGGGAAGCGCUGCACCUUACAGCUGCAGCCCGGCGACGAGUCACCGGCGCGAUGCUCCGCAA
Molecule: long non-coding RNA, 262 nt
Filed under: Chlamydomonas reinhardtii
Lineage: Eukaryota; Viridiplantae; Chlorophyta; Chlorophyceae; Chlamydomonadales; Chlamydomonadaceae
Description: long non-coding RNA (CREI_LNC001353)
Source: RNAcentral